CAGUGGGGAAUAUUGGGCAAUGGGGGCAACCCUGACCCAGCGACGCCGCGUGGGGGAAGACGGCCUUCGGGUUGUAAACCUCUUUUGUACGGGAAGAAGGAAGUGACGGUACUGUACGAAUAAGUCCCGGCUAACUACGUG
This 141-nucleotide ribosomal RNA is filed under the name uncultured Syntrophomonadaceae bacterium. RNAcentral's name for it is "partial 16S rRNA". It matches the Rfam family "Bacterial small subunit ribosomal RNA", at positions 352 to 507 of the family's 1533-position model. The record is from RNAcentral. Lineage: Bacteria; Bacillati; Bacillota; Clostridia; Eubacteriales; Syntrophomonadaceae.